Molecule: ribosomal RNA, 369 nt
Filed under: uncultured bacterium
Lineage: Bacteria
Description: bacterial SSU rRNA
Rfam family: Bacterial small subunit ribosomal RNA
Source: RNAcentral
ACGGAGGAUGCAAGCGUUAUCCGGAUUCAUUGGGUUUAAAGGGUGCGUAGGCGGACUAUUAAGUCAGUGGUGAAAUCCUGCAGCUUAACUGCAGAACUGCCAUUGAUACUGAUAGACUUGAGUUUGGUUAAGGUAGGCGGAAUGUGUAAUGUAGCGGUGAAAUGCUUAGAUAUUACACAGAACACCAAUUGCGUAGGCAGCUUACUGAGCCGAUACUGACGCUGAGGCACGAAAGCGUGGGGAUCGAACAGGAUUAGAUACCCUGGUAGUCCACGCCGUAAACGAUGAUUACUCGCUGUUGGCGAUACACAGUCAGCGGCUAAGCAAAAGCAAUAAGUAAUCCACCUGGGGAGUACGGCCGCAAGGUUG